Molecule: ribosomal RNA, 497 nt
Filed under: uncultured bacterium
Lineage: Bacteria
Description: partial 16S ribosomal RNA
Rfam family: Bacterial small subunit ribosomal RNA
Source: RNAcentral
GAUGAACGCUGGCGGCGUGCCUAAUACAUGCAAGUCGAGCGAACGGACGAGAAGCUUGCUUUUCUGAUGUUAGCGGCGGACGGGUGAGUAACACGUGGAUAACCUACCUAUAAGACUGGGAUAACUUCGGGAAACCGGAGCUAAUACCGGAUAAUAUUUUGAACCGCAUGGUUCAAAAGUGAAAGACGGUCUUGCUGUCACUUAUAGAUGGAUCCGCGCUGCAUUAGCUAGUUGGUAAGGUAACGGCUUACCAAGGCAACGAUGCAUAGCCGACCUGAGAGGGUGAUCGGCCACACUGGAACUGAGACACGGUCCAGACUCCUACGGGAGGCAGCAGUAGGGAAUCUUCCGCAAUGGGCGCAAGCCUGACCGAGCCACGCCGCGUGAGUGAUGAAGGUCUUCGGAUCGUAAAGCUCUGUUAUUGGGGAAGAACAUAUGUGUAAGUAUCUGUGCACGUCUUGACGGUACCUAAUCAGAAAGCCACGGCUAACUACGUG